Molecule: non-coding RNA, 28 nt
Filed under: Rattus norvegicus (Norway rat)
Lineage: Eukaryota; Metazoa; Chordata; Mammalia; Rodentia; Muridae
Source: RNAcentral
UGGUGCACGUGGGGCAAAUCUUAGUUUU